UUUUUCACCUCCUCUUCCUUUUGCCAUUAACUUCCUUUGUGGCCUCAGCAAAAAACCUCCCUGUUGGUCUCCUUCCUGAAACCCAAAGACGGAAGGUCAGAGAUCCUCGGAGGUUCUCAUCUGAACAAUUGCACCAGCUGGGUAGAGUCCGAGGGGAAUCGCCUGCAGAAUCGCCUUCCUCAAAGCCAGCCUGAACACCCUCUGCUGUUAUGGCCUGAGGAGCAGGGCAAUUCCCAGUCUGAUCGGGAGUCCUGACGUAUCCUGCACUUUGGGGUGUUCCUGCUCCAAAGGAGGAAACACAAUGUUCUCCCCACCUUGCCUCCCUGCACUGAAGCCCUUCAAGCAAAGCAUCUCUGAGGCAAAAGAGGGGCAGGCCAGAGCAACAUGUGUUCCUGACCCAUAUCUUUUUCUUUUAGUAUUAUCUGAUCAGCCCUGGAGCUAAUAAAUAAGUAUAUCCAGCAGCCUACAGCAAUAACAGACUGGCUGAGUUACAGGGAAUGGUAUUCUGUGAGCUGAGGAGUCAACAAAGGCAGAAAAAAAA
Molecule: long non-coding RNA, 541 nt
Organism: Nothoprocta perdicaria
Lineage: Eukaryota; Metazoa; Chordata; Aves; Tinamiformes; Tinamidae
Exons: 3
Source: RefSeq, a predicted model, not a curated record